Molecule: ribosomal RNA, 795 nt
Filed under: uncultured bacterium
Lineage: Bacteria
Description: bacterial SSU rRNA
Rfam family: Bacterial small subunit ribosomal RNA
Source: RNAcentral
AGAGUUUGAUCCUGGCUCAGAUUGAACGCUGGCGGCAUGCCUUACACAUGCAAGUCGAACGGCAGCACGGGGGCAACCCUGGUGGCGAGUGGCGAACGGGUGAGUAAUACAUCGGAACGUGUCCUGUAGUGGGGGGAUAGCCCGGCGAAAGCCGGAUUAAUACCGCAUACGCUCUACGGAGGAAAGGGGGGGGAUCUCAGGACCUCCCGCUACAGGGGCGGCCGAUGGCAGAUUAGCUAGUUGGUGGGGUAAAGGCCUACCAAGGCGACGAUCUGUAGCUGGUCUGAGAGGACGACCAGCCACACUGGGACUGAGACACGGCCCAGACUCCUACGGGAGGCAGCAGUGGGGAAUUUUGGACAAUGGGCGAAAGCCUGAUCCAGCAAUGCCGCGUGUGUGAAGAAGGCCUUCGGGUUGUAAAGCACUUUUGUCCGGAAAGAAAACCUCCGCCCUAAUAUGGUGGGGGGAUGACGGUACCGGAAGAAUAAGCACCGGCUAACUACGUGCCAGCAGCCGCGGUAAUACGUAGGGUGCAAGCGUUAAUCGGAAUUACUGGGCGUAAAGCGUGCGCAGGCGGUCCGCUAAGACAGAUGUGAAAUCCCCGGGCUUAACCUGGGAACUGCAUUUGUGACUGGCGGGCUAGAGUAUGGCAGAGGGGGGUAGAAUUCCACGUGUAGCAGUGAAAUGCGUAGAGAUGUGGAGGAAUACCGAUGGCGAAGGCAGCCCCCUGGGCCAAUACUGACGCUCAUGCACGAAAGCGUGGGGAGCAAACAGGAUUAGAUACCCUAGUAGUCC